GAUGAACGCUAGCGGCAGGCCUAACACAUGCAAGUCGAGGGGUAGAGUUCUUCGGGACUUGAGACCGGCGCACGGGUGCGUAACGCGUAUGCAAUCUACCUUAUACAGGGGAAUAGCCCCAGAGAAAUUUGGAUUAAUGCCCCAUAGUGUUAUCGAAUCGCAUGGUUUGAUAACUAAAGUUCCAACGGUAUAAGAUGAGCAUGCGUCCCAUUAGUUAGUUGGUAAGGUAACGGCUUACCAAGACAAUGAUGGGUAGGGGUCCUGAGAGGGGAGAUCCCCCCACACUGGUACUGAGACACGGACCAGACUCCUACGGGAGGCAGCAGUGAGGAAUAUUGGUCAAUGGGGCGCAAGCCUGAACCAGCCAUGCCGCGUGCAGGAAGACGGUCCUAUGGAUUGUAAACUGCUUUUUA
This 413-nucleotide ribosomal RNA is filed under the name uncultured bacterium. RNAcentral's name for it is "bacterial SSU rRNA". It matches the Rfam family "Bacterial small subunit ribosomal RNA", at positions 28 to 439 of the family's 1533-position model. The record is from RNAcentral.